RNAcentral lists this ribosomal RNA (426 nucleotides) under uncultured bacterium. RNAcentral's name for it is "bacterial SSU rRNA". It matches the Rfam family "Bacterial small subunit ribosomal RNA", at positions 356 to 773 of the family's 1533-position model. The record is from RNAcentral.
AGGGAAUCUUCCGCAAUGGACGAAAGUCUGACGGAGCAACGCCGCGUGAGUGAAGAAGGCCUUCGGGUCGUAAAGCUCUGUUGCCGGGGAAGAACAAGUGCCGUUCGAACAGGGCGGUGACUUGACGGUACCCGGCCAGAAAGCCACGGCUAACUACGUGCCAGCAGCCGCGGUAAUACGUAGGUGGCAAGCGUUGUCCGGAAUUAUUGGGCGUAAAGCGCGCGCAGGCGGCUUCUUAAGUCUGAUGUGAAAGCUUGCGGCUCAACCGCAAGCGGUCAUUGGAAACUGGGAGGCUUGAGCGCAGAAGAGGAGAGUGGAAUUCCACGUGUAGCGGUGAAAUGCGUAGAGAUGUGGAGGAACACCAGUGGCGAAGGCGGCUCUCUGGUCUGUAACUGACGCUGAGGCGCGAAAGCGUGGGGAGCAAAC